Hippocampus comes (tiger tail seahorse) is the source of this 328-nucleotide long non-coding RNA. RefSeq lists it as uncharacterized. The transcript has 3 exons. The record is from RefSeq and is a predicted model, not a curated record. NCBI's taxonomy places the organism in Eukaryota, Metazoa, Chordata, Actinopteri, Syngnathiformes, Syngnathidae.
CAUACGCCCUUUUUAUGUCGUUUUUACAGGAGCUGAAGGCACACAUACUGCCUCUGACAAAUGUUGCAUUUGACAAAUCGGGGUCAAGGUUUCUAACUGGGAGCUAUGACAGAACAUGUCGUAUUUGGGACACCGCCUCAGGCACUGAGCUGCACACACUGGAGGGUCACCGAAAUGUGGUGUAUGCCAUCGCAUUCAACAACCCCUUCGGAGACAAGAUUGCCACUGGUUCUUUUGAUAAGACCUGCAAGCUGUGGUGUGCUGAGACGGGUAAAUGCUUCUAUACGUUUCGAGGCCAUAUGGCUGAAAUAGUAAGUAUAGUAUUACG